RNAcentral lists this ribosomal RNA (429 nucleotides) under Actinomycetes bacterium. Its description in RNAcentral is "Actinobacteria bacterium partial 16S ribosomal RNA". It matches the Rfam family "Bacterial small subunit ribosomal RNA", at positions 355 to 776 of the family's 1533-position model. The record is from RNAcentral. Lineage: Bacteria; Bacillati; Actinomycetota; Actinomycetes.
UAGGGAAUCUUCCGCAAUGGGCGAAAGCCUGACGGAGCAACGCCGCGUGAGUGAUGAAGGUCUUCGGAUCGUAAAACUCUGUUAUUAGGGAAGAACAAAUGUGUAAGUAACUAUGCACGUCUUGACGGUACCUAAUCAGAAAGCCACGGCUAACUACGUGCCAGCAGCCGCGGUAAUACGUAGGUGGCAAGCGUUAUCCGGAAUUAUUGGGCGUAAAGCGCGCGUAGGCGGUUUUUUAAGUCUGAUGUGAAAGCCCACGGCUCAACCGUGGAGGGUCAUUGGAAACUGGAAAACUUGAGUGCAGAAGAGGAAAGUGGAAUUCCAUGUGUAGCGGUGAAAUGCGCAGAGAUAUGGAGGAACACCAGUGGCGAAGGCGACUUUCUGGUCUGUAACUGACGCUGAUGGGCGAAAGCGUGGGGAUCAAACAGG